AGCGAACGCUGGCGGCAGGCCUAACACAUGCAAGUCGAACGAACCUUUCGGGGUUAGUGGCGGACGGGUGAGUAACACGUGGGAACGUGCCUUUAGGUUCGGAAUAACUCAGGGAAACUUGUGCUAAUACCGAAUGUGCCCUUCGGGGGAAAGAUUAAUCGCCUUUAGAGCGGCCCGCGUCUGAUUAGCUAGUUGGUUGAGGUAAUGGCUCACCAAGGCGACGAUCAGUAGCUGGUCUGAGAGGAUGAUCAGCCACAUUGGGACUGAGACACGGCCCAAACUCCUACGGGAGGCAGCAGUGGGGAAUCUUGCGCAAGGGGCGAAAGCCUGACGCAGCCAUGCCGCGUGAAUGAUGAAGGUCUUAGGAUUGUAAAAUUCUUUCAACGGGGACGAUAAUGACGGUACCCGGAGAAGAAGCCCCGGCUAACUUCGUG
This 434-nucleotide ribosomal RNA is filed under the name uncultured bacterium. RNAcentral describes it as "partial 16S ribosomal RNA". It matches the Rfam family "Bacterial small subunit ribosomal RNA", at positions 29 to 507 of the family's 1533-position model. The record is from RNAcentral.